RNAcentral lists this non-coding RNA (104 nucleotides) under Clostridium botulinum. RNAcentral's name for it is "SAM-I sequence". It matches the Rfam family "SAM riboswitch aptamer (S box leader)". From Rfam's summary of the family: The SAM riboswitch is found upstream of a number of genes which code for proteins involved in methionine or cysteine biosynthesis in Gram-positive bacteria. The SAM riboswitch acts at the level of transcription termination control. The record is from RNAcentral. RNAcentral also lists the same sequence under 1 other name. Lineage: Bacteria; Bacillati; Bacillota; Clostridia; Eubacteriales; Clostridiaceae.
UUCUUAUCGAGAGUGGUGGAGGGACUGGCCCUAUGAAACCCGGCAACCAAUAUAUUAUAUAUAUAAGGUGCUAAAUCCUGCAGUAAGUAACUGAUAGAUAAGGG